Regulatory RNA element from Bacilli bacterium VT-13-104, 103 nucleotides. It matches the Rfam family "SAM riboswitch aptamer (S box leader)". From Rfam's summary of the family: The SAM riboswitch is found upstream of a number of genes which code for proteins involved in methionine or cysteine biosynthesis in Gram-positive bacteria. The record is from Rfam. NCBI's taxonomy places the organism in Bacteria, Bacillati, Bacillota, Bacilli.
AACUUAUCUAGAGAGGUGGAGGGACUGGCCCAACGAAGCCUCGGCAACAGACUUAAUAAGAACUGUGCCAAUUCCAGCAAGUAUUUAACUUGAUAGAUAAGAA